This 494-nucleotide ribosomal RNA is filed under the name uncultured bacterium. RNAcentral describes it as "bacterial SSU rRNA". It matches the Rfam family "Bacterial small subunit ribosomal RNA", at positions 31 to 507 of the family's 1533-position model. The record is from RNAcentral.
GAACGCUAGCGACAGGCUUAACACAUGCAAGUCGAGGGGCAGCGGAGCUGAAAGCUUGCUUUCAGCUGCCGGCGACCGGCGCACGGGUGAGUAACACGUAUGCAACCUGGCCGUGACAGAUGGAUAACCGGGAGAAAUUCCGCCUAAUACAGCAUAAUGCCUUGAAGGGACAUCUCUUUGAGGCCAAAGGAGGCGACUCCGGUCACGGAUGGGCAUGCGGCGCAUUAGGUAGUUGGUGAGGUAACGGCCCACCAAGCCGACGAUGCGUAGGGGUUCUGAGAGGAAGGUCCCCCACAUUGGAACUGAGACACGGUCCAAACUCCUACGGGAGGCAGCAGUGAGGAAUAUUGGUCAAUGGCCGGAAGGCUGAACCAGCCAAGUCGCGUGAGGGAAUAAGGCCCUAUGGGUCGUAAACCUCUUUUGCCAGGGAGCAAGGGGUUCCACGUGUGGGAUUCCGGAGAGUACCCGGAGAAAAAGCAUCGGCUAACUCCGUG